Molecule: long non-coding RNA, 652 nt
Filed under: Naja naja (Indian cobra)
Lineage: Eukaryota; Metazoa; Chordata; Lepidosauria; Squamata; Elapidae
Description: lncRNA (ENSNNAG00000012802.1)
Source: RNAcentral
GCAGUCCGCUUGCUCGGCCGCAGCGCCUUGCCUUAGAGCAGCUGAUCCGCUGACAUCACCCUGGGAUGGGGCUCUUCCCUGACUGACAGCUCCUCGCACAGCGCGGAAAGCGGAAGCUCCCUAAGCGAAGUCGUGGCUGCUCUUGAAUCCCAACGCCGUCGGGCAGUGUUGUUUUCCCAACGCCGCCGCGCUUGUCGGGGCCUGUUUCGGCGCGAGGAUGACUCUGUUCCCCGGUCAAACCCUUGUGCGCCUUGUGGACUCCAUAAGCCGCGCGGAUAACGACAAAUAGCUCGUUCCCAAUGCGAGAAAUAAAUACCGAUAAAUCUGGACCACAGAUCAGUAUUGCCUCCCCUCUGUUUUGUAAAGACAUGUAGCAAUGCUGGUGAAGUUUAAAUGCAAGUUAGUAAUUCUACAGACAGUUCUAGAUGCUUUUAUGCAACAAUUGAUAUUAAAGUACAGAAACAUCAACCUGACAACAAAGGUGGCUACAAAUGCUGGCUAAUAAUUAACUUGAAAAUUUUCUUGGUUGAUGCACUGGACCUAACAUUUAUACUUUAGAAAACAGAAGUGCAGGAUGCUGUAACUUGACUGGCUAUGAAGUACUGAACGUUUCAGCAGAUACAUCUUACAUAAUAAUCCACAGAUGUUAAGC